AGAGUUUGAUCCUGGCUCAGGACGAACGCUGGCGGUGCGCCUUAUGCAUGCAAGUCGAGCGAAGCUUUUCAGUAGUUUACUACAGAAAAUGACUGAGCGGCGAACGGGUGAGUAACGCGUGAGCAAUCUACCUUAGUUACAGGGAUAGCCCGAGGAAACUCGGAUUAAUACCUGAUAUUCUUUAUUUCUCGCAUGAGAAUAAAAGGAAAGGUCAGCCGAACUAAGAUGAGCUCGCGUUCUAUCAGCUAGUUGGUGAGGUAAAAGCUUACCAAGGCUACGACGGAUAGCUGGUCUGAGAGGACGAUCAGCCACACUGGGACUGAGACACGGCCCAGACUCCUACGGGAGGCUGCAGCAGGGAAUAUUGUGCAAUGAACGAAAGUUUGACACAGCGACACCGCGUGUGGGAUGACGGAUCUAGGUUUGUAAACCACUUUCAGGAGGGAAGAAAAUGACGGUACCUCCACAAGAAGCCCCGGCCAACUACGUGCCAGCAGCCGCGGUAAUACGUAGGGGGCGAGCGUUGUCCGGAUUUAUUGGGCGUAAAGAGCUCGUAGGCGGUUCAACAAGUCGGUCGUGAAAGUUCAGGGCUCAACCCUGAAAUGUCGAUCGAUACUGUUGUGACUAGGAUACGGUAGAGGUGAGUGGAAUUCCGAGUGUAGCGGUGAAAUGCGUAGAUAUUCGGAGGAACACCAAUUGCGAAGGCAGCUCACUGGACCGCUAUCGACGCU
RNAcentral lists this ribosomal RNA (731 nucleotides) under uncultured bacterium. RNAcentral's name for it is "bacterial SSU rRNA". It matches the Rfam family "Bacterial small subunit ribosomal RNA", at positions 8 to 747 of the family's 1533-position model. The record is from RNAcentral.